RNAcentral lists this ribosomal RNA (274 nucleotides) under uncultured bacterium. RNAcentral describes it as "partial 16S ribosomal RNA". It matches the Rfam family "Bacterial small subunit ribosomal RNA", at positions 523 to 796 of the family's 1533-position model. The record is from RNAcentral.
AUACGGAGGGUCCAAGCGUUAUCCGGAAUCAUUGGGUUUAAAGGGUCCGUAGGCGGACAAUUAAGUCAGAGGUGAAAGCCCACAGCUCAACUGUGGAACUGCCUUUGAUACUGGUUGUCUUGAAUUAUAGUGAAGUAGAUAGAAUAUGUAGUGUAGCGGUGAAAUGCAUAGAUAUUACAUAGAAUACCGAUUGCGAAGGCAGUCUACUAACUAUAUAUUGACGCUGAUGGACGAAAGCGUGGGGAGCGAACAGGAUUAGAUACCCUAGUAGUCC